UAAAUCUUGGGUGCUUCCCCAUGAUCGG
This 28-nucleotide non-coding RNA is filed under the name Mus musculus (house mouse). The record is from RNAcentral. Lineage: Eukaryota; Metazoa; Chordata; Mammalia; Rodentia; Muridae.